This 482-nucleotide ribosomal RNA is filed under the name Starmerella meliponinorum. RNAcentral describes it as "eukaryotic LSU rRNA". It matches the Rfam family "Eukaryotic large subunit ribosomal RNA", at positions 69 to 657 of the family's 3401-position model. The record is from RNAcentral. Lineage: Eukaryota; Fungi; Ascomycota; Dipodascomycetes; Dipodascales; Trichomonascaceae.
ACAGGCAUGCCUUAGUACGGCGAGUGAACAGGCAAGAGCUCAGAUUUGAAAGCCUUUUUGGCAUUGUAUUCUGAAGUAUUUAUCCUGAGUAAUGAUGUCUAAGUCUUCUGGAAAGGAGCGCCAUGGAGGGUGAUAGCCCCGUGUGACAUCCCACUCAUUGUAGGAUUUAUACGUGGAGUCGAGUUGUUUGGGAAUGCAGCUCAAACGGGUGGUAUGCUCCAUCUAAAGCUAAAUAUCUGUGAGAGACCGAUAGCGAACAAGUACUGUGAAGGAAAGAUGAAAAGAACUUUGAAAAGAGAGUGAAAAAGUACGUGAAAUUGUUGAAAUGGAAGGGUAGGCCGCUAACCAUGUAGAACCGUGUUUGGGGGGAAGAUAAAAGCUGAAGAAUGUGGCUCCUCGGAGUGUUAUAGCUUCAGUCAAUAUUCCCAUCCGAGCGCGAGGAUCUCAGGUUCUACUAAAUGGUGGUCUACCACCCGUCUUGA